CUCUCAUAGCCUUUCGUGGAGAUUUCUUAGAACAAUCAUUCCUUCUUUGCAUCCAAACCUAAAAAUCCAAAGCCUCUGAUCUCCCUAAUUCAUAUUUCUCUUUUUCUCUCCUUAAUUCAUAUGACUGUCAAAAUGCAAAACAAGACUUGUUUACUUCUUUUCUUAGUUCUCAUUCUUUCUUGCUUCAUAGGUCAAAUCCUUGGGAACAAGCAAUCACAAGCACUUGCUGAACUUUACAAGUCCAAGUUGAAGGAAUGCUCGGGCAUCGACAUGAGCCAAUUCGAGGCAAUUCUUCACGCCAAUGGAACCAAAAUUCAUCCUCAGGAGGGGUUGAAGGAGAAGGACAGGAUUGAUAUCUUGCCUGGACAACCCCAUGUGAAUUUCUCUCAGUAUGGUGGGUAUGUUACGGUGGAUAAAGAAGCAGGUCGUGCAUUCUUUUACUAUUUUGCUGAAGCAGAGAAGGCUAAGGAUUCCUCACCUCUUCUUCUAUGGCUCAAUGGAGGUAAAUUACUUUCCUACUCUUGCAAUGUAGUCAACGUCACCAGCUCAAUGAUGCUGGUAUAAUUUGUCGCUGCUUGGAAAAUUAUGUGUGGUUGAUUGUGAUUUCCUCUUUGACCAUGCAUACAUUCUUUCCUUUAAUUCUAUUGGUUUUAGUUUUUUGGGUAUUUAAAGGGAUGAAAAUACAUCCCAUUAAAAUGCGAACAAAAUAAAUGAAUCUCUGUUAAUUGUAAUUUACGCUAGAAUUUGCAUCCAUCAAUCGCUGACAAUGAUUCAUGCACGACGGACAAACUUCCCUCCUUUCAUAUUUUCUUUAACAAUAAUUAAUUACCAUUACUCAUUAUUUAAAUUUGUCAUUGUUAGAAACAUUUCAACUUUCAUUCACAUUCCCCAGGUGGCUUCCUGCCUUCCUCUUUAAUUUGAGGAAUGGCUGGAAUAACAAAUCCCAGAAUUCACUCUUGCGGAUGACAUCCCGGCGCUCAAGCUGUAGCUGUAUAUUUUUCAGCAGGGAAAUAUACAAAAAUUUAAAAUUCAACGUUGAGAAAGUUCUUGGUUGAUAAUAUGCAGCUCAAUUAUUUAUCAUUAAUAUAAUGAAUCUACCUUUUUUGGUAGAGAGGGAGUGUGUGAAGACUGUAACUUCCAGUGACAUUAUCUAUUAGUUUGAUGGCAAUUUAAUAAUUAUAUUACCUGUAUGUCUAUAAUUUAAACGUUGCAAUGACUUAAUGUCUUCACAGGACCUGGAUGUUCUUCUCUUGCCUACGGAGCAAUGCUAGAGCUUGGACCGUUCCGAAUCCACAGCGAUGGAAAAACACUUUACCAAAACAGAUUUUCAUGGAACUAUGGUAAAUCUAACACAAUUAAAAGGGACUAAAGUAUGAUUUUCAAUGCUUAAAGAAAUUGAUCUUCUUCUUUUUUUCUUUUUUCUUUUUUGUAUUUUUUUCAGCUGCUAAUGUUUUGUUCCUUGAGUCCCCUGCCGGGGUGGGAUUUUCUUACUCGAAUAAAACAUCUGAUUAUGAUGCCAACGGGGAUAGAAGAACAGCUGCAGAUAAUUAUGUGUUUUUGGUGAAUUGGUUGGAGAGAUUUCCAGAACACAAGGACAGAGAGUUCUAUAUUUCUGGUGAAAGCUAUGCAGGGCAUUAUGUACCUCAACUUGCACACACUAUUCUUUACCAUAAUAAGAGGGCUAACAAGACAAUUAUCAACCUCAAGGGCAUAAUGGUAACUCUCUCUCUCUCUCUCUCUCUCUCUCUCUCUCUCUCUCUCUCUCUCUAUUGUGAAGUAAAAAUCUAUUGCUAAUAAAUAUUGGAAUUUAGACUCUAUUUGGUACCAUGUUCUUGGAUUCUUGGUAGUUAGUGUGUAAUAACCGAUCUUAAAUUAAUAUUUAAUUGUUAGAGUAUUCAAAUAAAAGACAAUUUUACCUACAAAAUAUUUUAAUGGGUUUAAAAAUUGACUUUUUAUUUGAGACAGAAUUUGGAGAUUGUAGUAGUAUCGUUGCGUAGAGCAUAUCGAGAUGAGUCCGUGGACAUGUAGUGGGCUCAAAUCAGAGUUAUAACAAAGAAAUUAUGAUAUACGGAAGCCCAAUGGCAUAACCGUAAAUAUUUUUGGAAGUUAUUUUUUUAAGAGUGGUGAUUUUCCCACUCCAAUUUUAUCCACUUACACUCCAUUUUAUAACUAAAAAAAUGAGUGUAAGUGGAUAAAAUUGGAGUGGGGAAAUCAUUUAAAACCCAUAUUUUUUUUUUCUUUUCUCCCUCAAUUCUCUCUCUCACGACCAAAAUAGCCACCAAUCUUUGGCCGGUGACAUCUCCUCCCUCCAGCCAACGUAGGCACGAGACCACUUGCGUUAGAACUGCCUCAACCUCCUCCACCUGUUCCACCCCUUCUCCGACGAGCCUAGCUACUCCUUUGCUGACUGUAGCUCGAUAAAUUUCCAAUUUUUGUCAAAACUUUCCGUCGUUGUUUCUGACGAUUCCGGCUACCAAAAUUGUCAAUUCAUGUAUGCUUUUUCAUCCUCUCAAUGUGUUCUAGUUGAUGGGUGGGUUGAUUAGGAUUGAUUUUUGCCUUUUGGAACACGUUUUAUCGCUUACAUUUUCAGCCAAUUUUCGGCUCUUAAGUCCGGGCAUCUCCGGCCACUUUUUGGCCACGGUCCAAGAACAAAAAUUGCUCCACUCAUUGUCCAGGUCACGUAGGUAUAGGUCUCGACCAGUGGUGUAGAGGCUUUUCGGUCGUCAAAAUUUCUUUGGGCACCACACCCUGUUGAAGCUUGUGGUUGCGCGUGGGCACUAUUUGGGUGACCCUUUUGGUCCUAAAAUAAUCCCCAUGUCGUCCUGAGCACUACGGUAUGCUCAGAUUUCAAUUUGGUUAUCGUUUGACUGUCAAUCGGAUAUCUCAUAUUGAGCGUUAUCGUAGUUCGAUAUGCUCGGACAGUUGGAUAGACUUCAUUUUCAAAUAUGUUAAUCUAGGAAUUUCUAGGAUUAUGUGGGAAUUCGUGAAUUGUGAAUCAGAGUCCCGAAUACUCUGAUUCAAUAAUUCAAAAUUUAGGAUAAACAAUAACCGUCUGAUAAUGCGAUCGCAAGCGAUCCGACUACUUGAUAGAGAUUAAACUUGCAUAACGUGUUUAGUAGACUUGGUUUAACUUGUAGGAACUUUCAGAUCAAAAAUCGGAGGUCGUGGGCCCUGCAGGCCCAUUGACCAUUAUGGGAAGUUUGAUCCCUUGGAUGACCGAGAGUCUUCCGAGGUGGUUUCAUCCUUCAAGAAGUUCAAGAACGAUAUUAUUAAUGCUUGACUAUUAUGUGAUUUAUUUUGAUUAUUUUUGGAUUAUGAGAUUAUGUUAUAGUAUUAGUGGCGGAUUUUGAUGGAGUCUCGCUUUGGUAUUCCCGGGUGUUAUUUUGGUAUUCGAAUGCAAUAUUGGAAGUUAUGGGAUCUCUAGGGUAUAUAUUUAUUAUUAUUAUGAUUAUUAUUAAAGUAUAUGACUGAGUGAUAUUGGAUUAUUUAAAUAUUUGUGAGUUACUAUGUAAUCGCUUAUACUUUCUAAGAAUAUUAUAUUAUGUUUGAUUGUGUAAAGUUGGGAACGGCUUAUUAAUCGGAUUUUGGACGUGACUAGUAAAUUAAUUAAAUAUCUAAGUAUAUGUCUAUAUUUAACAUAUAUACUCAAUAGUUUGAAAAUGAUGAAUUAUGGACACUAGUUCUCAAUAGUAUGUGGUGCAAAUUCAAAUGUAGUUGAGAACUGAUUUUUGGAAAGUUGAGAAAAGAUUUGAAAAAUGGAUUUGUGGAAUAAGAGAAAUUUUAUGAUAAGUUUUGGAGUAUGGUUUUCAAACCCACCACAAGAGUAAUGACCACCCCCCCUCCAAAAUUGCCUUUGGAACAGUUUAGUCAUUUAUGAUAAUGCCCCACGAGUCUUAGGGAUACCUGGAUCAUGAGGAAGGAGGAAUGCUUCUCAGGUUGACUAAGUGUCCUCUUAGUCUUGUGAGGAAUGCGGCUCGAGUUGACUUUGUGUUUCUGAGACCUGCGAGAAUGUGUAGCUUAUGUGACACAUUGAAAUUGACGGUAUAAUGUGGGAAAUAAAUAUAAAAUGAUGGAAUUUACGGAAUAUUAUUGGAAUUCAAGGAAUAUUAGUGGAAUUGACGGGUUAUGGAUGGGGGUACACCUAGGUGGAGAGUAUUUGAGUUUUGAGAUAUUUUAAACUAAAAUUGAUAAUUUUAUCUUGGUACUUAUUAGUGAAGAUUUUAAUAUAUGUUUUCCAACUAAUGCGACAAGGAUUGAGAGUUUUCUAAGUUUUAAGGAUUUUAUAUAAUUCACAAUUAUUUUCUUAAGUGAUGAAUUUGUUUUUAAAUGUGAAAGAGGGAAACAUGUUUUAUUUAAAUUAUUAAUAUUGACGUUAAGGUUUCAUGUGGUCAAAUCUAUUGUAAUAAUUUCCUUGUUUUCCUACUUAUUUGUAAUAAGUUUAUUUUAUAUAUAUAUAUAUAUAUUUGUAUAUGCACGCAUGGGAUGAGUGGAAGAUUGUUCUGAAAUCAAUAGCCCUUACUUGAGUUUCAAUGGAAUGAUUUGCAAAUUUCAUUGAAAAAUAACAAUUGAUGAAGAUAUACAAGUGCAAAUGUGAAAAGUGAAAGAAUUAUGUAUGGCUUGAUCCCUUAAAAGGGUACAUAGGCAACCUAGAGUUACUAGUUGCAGCCACAAGAUCAGUUGUUGAAAAUUUGUUUAGUUAAGUUAUAUUGGAACUUGAUUACAUAUUCAUGUUGUUCUAAGAGUAGAGACCAGUUUCAGACAGCAAAAUGAUUUAUUUGGUAUAAAGAGGUCGAAACUAUUUAAAGUUAUUUGUCUAAUGCAUGCUAAACGUUUCUGGAUAUAUGAAUUGCUUUCUGUACAUGUGUAAAUUUUGGGAAACGAGCAAUUUACAGGGGAGGUUCUGCCGAAUUUUCGGUAGAAGUCAAACUUUAAAAUAAUUUUGAGUCUUAGUUAGAAGGGCAAUUUGGUUAAGUGUGCCCGACACUUGCUAGGUGUCGAACACGGACAGGAUUCGACGCAGAUUCCAAAGUGGAAUUUGAAUCGGGUCCUAUCAUAGUGAAAGUUGUAAUUGUAAAGGUCUUGGGAAAAUGCUUUGCAUUGGUCCCUCUAGAAAGUGGCUAAAUGCCCACAUUUGGUGGAGCAAAAUACUUUCCUAUUUGUCAUCAUAUAUCUUUUACUCUUCGUUUCUCAUAAAAUUUGCUUAUUGUAUGUUGUAAUGAAAGCAUCAAGUGGAAUAUGGUUGAGUAUAAGUCCAUAAAUUGGGUAAAGAAACAAAAAAGUUCUACAUGUUGGGAGGUGUCUGUCGGGCUCGUACAAUGUUGUGUAAGAAAUCCACUAUUGUUUAUGGGUCUCUAGUUUGGUUCUCAUAAUGAAACUCUCAUUUUUAAUCUCGGAAGAAUGGAAGAUGUUCAUUCACUGAUUUUUAGAACACUAAGAAAUGAGGAUCAUUUAAUGUCUUUUUUUUUUUAUUCCCAUGUUUGGUUUGUGUAGUAUUAAGAAUAAAAUAAUGUUCUGUUUUCCCCCCUUCUUUUUUUCCACUUCAAAUUGUCACCCUUCUUGGGUAAGUAAAAAAUUUAUUUGGCGCAUGAUGCAGAUUGGAAAUGCAGUGAUUAACGAUGAAACUGAUUUAAGAGGAAUGUACGACUACUUAGCAAGCCACGCCCUCAUUUCAGAUCAAACUGCAAAUAAAAUCAACAAAUAUUGUGAUUUUUCACCCAAUGCAACAAAGCAGCCUAAGGAGUGCACUGAUACCGCUGAUGCUGCAGCUAAGGAUACCUAUUACAUUGACAUUUUCAACAUCUAUACCUCCUCAUGCGUUUCCUCCAACCUCACUGCAAAACCCAAAAAGGCUUCAGUAAGUUAAAAACAACGCCCUUAAUUAUACUGCAUGUAGGUAUUUACCAUCUGCUGUUUUCAAAACAUUUUGUUGUGUUGAACUGCCGAGCUGCAGAUAUUCGAAUUCGACCCGUGCAGCGAGUACUAUGCUUAUGCUUAUUUGAACCGGCCAUACGUUCAACAAGCUCUCCAUGCCAAUGUCACUAAACUCACACAUGACUGGGAACCAUGCAGUGAUGUUAUCACAAACUGGGCCGAUAGUGCAUCGACCGUACCGCCCCUUUUAAAAGAGUUCCUGGCUAAUGAUGUUCGAGUGUGGAUUUUUAGGUGAAAUUUUGAUACUCUUCUUCUUCUUCAUCAUCUUAAACUUGUAAUUUGCUUCUCUGGAGUUUCAGUAUUUGAACUCUAAAGCUAAUCCAGCUCAUUCUUAUGGAAGUGCAGUGGAGACAUAGAUACAAGGGUACCAGUCACUUCAACAAAAUAUUCUAUUGAAAAGCUGAAUUUUCCAGUAAAGACUGAAUCGCAUGCUUGGUUUCUUGGUGGAGAGGUAGCUUCUCAUUUCCCCGUCGUUUUUGUCUUCGGAUUUUCAAAACCACGUCUUUGAAAGUCUUUGGCGUUAAUUAUUUUGGAUGUUUUAUUCAUAUAUAUAUAUAUAUAUAUAUAUAUAUAUAUAUUAACAGGUUGGUGGUUACACACAAGUGUAUGAAGGAGAGCUAACAUUUGCUACAGUGAGAGGGGCAGGGCAUCAAGUGCCAAGCUAUCAGCCUGCAAGAGGACUUUCCCUCAUCAAGCACUUCCUUGAUGGCACACCACUCCCUAAUACUACAAGACAUACCUAA
Molecule: small RNA, 6674 nt
Filed under: Prunus dulcis (almond)
Lineage: Eukaryota; Viridiplantae; Streptophyta; Magnoliopsida; Rosales; Rosaceae
Description: sRNA ncRNA
Source: RNAcentral